ACAUCUGUCACCAUGUUGAUUUGUCUAAUCUACCUGGCUAUGUAUGUGUGCCCUACAUCCCUCACUACUCCAUGCAAGUCCCUCCCCAGCCUGUGGGCACCAAGAGAAUGACCUUCCUCAUAGACGGGGACUCAUUCCUCCAAUAAGCUUAUAGGAGUCACCAUGCUCCCCUGCUCGAGCUUCCUAACAAGCUUUCAAAGUCCAUUUCUAAGAGAA
Molecule: long non-coding RNA, 216 nt
Filed under: Cervus elaphus hippelaphus
Lineage: Eukaryota; Metazoa; Chordata; Mammalia; Artiodactyla; Cervidae
Rfam family: 7SK RNA
About the family: 7SK was discovered as an abundant small nuclear RNA in the mid-70s but a possible function has only recently been suggested. Two independent studies have found that 7SK RNA binds the CDK9/cyclin T complex (known as elongation factor P-TEFb). P-TEFb activates transcription by phosphorylating the C-terminal domain of RNA polymerase II.
Source: RNAcentral